GACGUAGGGGGCCAGCGUUGUUCGGAAUUACUGGGCGUAAAGGGUUCGUAGGCGGUGCGGCAAGUUGGGAGUGAAAUCUCUGGGCUUAACCCAGAGGCUGCUUCCAAAACUGCUGUGCUUGAGUGUGGGAGAGGCGCGUGGAAUUGCAGGUGCAGCGGUGAAAUGCGUAGAUAUCUGCAGGAACACCCGUGGCGAAAGCGGCGCGCUGGACCACUACUGACGCUGAGGAACGAAAGCUAGGGGAGCAAACAGG
This 253-nucleotide ribosomal RNA is filed under the name uncultured bacterium. Its description in RNAcentral is "partial 16S ribosomal RNA". It matches the Rfam family "Bacterial small subunit ribosomal RNA", at positions 524 to 776 of the family's 1533-position model. The record is from RNAcentral.